AUUGAACGCUGGCGGCAUGCUUUACACAUGCAAGUCGAACGGUAACAGGCCUUCGGGUGCUGACGAGUGGCGAACGGGUGAGUAAUGCAUCGGAACGUGCCCAAUCGUGGGGGAUAACGUAGCGAAAGUUACGCUAAUACCGCAUAAGCCCUGAGGUGGAAAGUGGGGGACCGCAAGGCCUCACGCGAAUGGAGCGGCCGAUGUCAGAUUAGCUAGUUGGUGGGGUAAAGGCUCACCAAGGCGACGAUCUGUAGCGGGUCUGAGAGGAUGAUCCGCCACACUGGGACUGAGACACGGCCCAGACUCCUACGGGAGGCAGCAGUGGGGAAUUUUGGACAAUGGGCGCAAGCCUGAUCCAGCCAUGCCGCGUGCGGGACGAAGGCC
RNAcentral lists this ribosomal RNA (384 nucleotides) under uncultured bacterium. RNAcentral describes it as "bacterial SSU rRNA". It matches the Rfam family "Bacterial small subunit ribosomal RNA", at positions 29 to 416 of the family's 1533-position model. The record is from RNAcentral.